UGGGGAAUUUUGCGCAAUGGGCGAAAGCCUGACGCAGUAACGCCGCGUGGAGGAUGAAGGCCUUCGGGUUGUAAACUCCUGUCAGGAGGAACGACGGGGCUAGAGUGAAUAAUUCUAGUCCCCAGACGGUACCUCCAAAGGAAGCCCCGGCUAAUUCCGUGCCAGCAGCCGCGGUAAUACGGAAGGGGCAAGCGUUGUUCGGAAUCAUUGGGCGUAAAGGGCGCGUAGGUGGUCUUGUGUGUCUAUCGUGAAAGCACACGGCUCAACCGUGUAAAGUCGGUGGAAACUGCAGGACUUGAGGUUGGGAGGGGCUGGUGGAAUUCCCUGUGUAGCGGUGAAAUGCGUAGAGAUGGGGGAGAACACUUGUGGCGAAGGCGGCCAGCUGGACCAAUCCUGACACUGAGGCGCGACAGCGUGGGGAGCAAACAGG
Molecule: ribosomal RNA, 430 nt
Filed under: uncultured bacterium
Lineage: Bacteria
Description: bacterial SSU rRNA
Rfam family: Bacterial small subunit ribosomal RNA
Source: RNAcentral